UUAUGAUAACGAGUGACAAUAGCGUUCCAAUUUCGAGGAAAUUUCGACCAAAGUCUCUACCGAUAUAUAAGACCUGUAGCAAGUGGCAUACACCAAAGCACGAGCGGUUGCCGCAGCAGUGAGAAGUCUCAGCAACUCCGAUAAGUGUCUGAAAGCCAAGUGUGAGCAUCUUGAGGAUUCUAUCGUACCAAGGA
This is a long non-coding RNA of Cryptotermes secundus, 194 nucleotides long. RefSeq lists it as uncharacterized. The record is from RefSeq and is a predicted model, not a curated record. NCBI's taxonomy places the organism in Eukaryota, Metazoa, Arthropoda, Insecta, Blattodea, Kalotermitidae. The transcript has 2 exons.